CUGUUCCAGUUCAACAAGGAGGCGGAGCUCUGGCCCUUGGCUCCGCCCAGCAGACGCUGUCGAGUGUUUUCUUUAUCGCUGCUGUGGGACAGCAUGACGGCUCUCCUCUCCACCUGCUAACACAUGGAAAAAGUCUUGGUCAGCACACAGCCUCCAGGCACCACUCCAGCCACCAGGACGGGGGAGUCUCCUCUGAGCGUGAGACCCAGUCCAUCCUCCCCCCUCUGCAGACGGAUCACGUGGACGGGACCCCAGCGAGCCCGCGCACAAAACACAGACAGGGGCCCCUGCAGCACAGAGAAGCGGUUCAGCUCGAGAAGCAGGUCUCGUAAAACCUGGCUGAGCGGUGGUCCUGCGGGGACGUUGAUGUAGAACUGGAGGAGAGCCUUCUCUGCUUCCUCAUCAGCCGCCUCCUCCUCCUCAGCAGACACUGCAGAAGAAGACAAGUUAGCAUGGACACACAGCACACGAGGACAUGAGCACAGCGAUGUGGAGACCUGAACAUGAUGCGGCUGGGCCUCACUGAUCACUGCACAAAAACUGAAUUUGGUGUAACUGGAUCGUAUUUCAUGGACAAAAUGAUUUGGUGAUUUACAAGCUCCCUGUUGGACAGGACAUUGUUGUCAUUGUAACUCGGCCCAUAAAGCAGAGUUCAGGCAGAACUCUUCACGGAAUUUGAUCCAGACCAGACGAUAUGAUCCUGUGGACUCAUCCCGGUGCUUCGUGGGUGUGCUGCUCCUGGAGGAGAUGACCAAUAAACUUGCUGACAACAAAAUGUCAGAUUGCCGUGAAAGUAUUAAAUACUGAUGGAAGUGUUGCCUUCAGAGCAGUCCGAAACCUGAGCCUUUUCCUUACAGCGAUUACUUUUCCACCUUUACUUCAUUAUUUGAAACUUUGGCCACCGCACAGUGUGACAUUUCACACAGAAACAAAGGAAAAGCAUAACAGGUUCCUUUUAAAGUGAAACGUACUGAACGGUUUGACUUACUCGUGUGGUCGCAAAGUGCAACGGCAGCGUAGUAGUGUGAGAGGGCACGGAAGUGUUCGGAUUUGACCUGGACCAUGGACGCCCAAGAAAACGGCACAUAGUCCUUCAUCAGAGGCUGCGUCAUGGUCUGCUGCACUAACAGCCUCUUGUGCCAGACGCAGCUGGGAAGUGAAGUGUGUGUCCUGUGUGGUGAGCGUGACACGUUCAAACACACACUCCUGCACCUGGGCAACCAUCAGCCGGACCAGCAUGCAAAGCGACGGGCUGCUCAUGUCCAGACUCGGAGCGUUGGAGAAAUUCUCCUUAAGUACCUGCAGCUCUCUGAAAGGCGUCCACAGCUUUGUCUAUGCCAGCUGUGGCAGAACGGUCCUGCCGAGCUCCAAUCUGUGUGUACAGAGCGCCGAUGUUGAACAACACGCUUCCUUUCUCGAAGGCCAACGUACGCUGACACGACGGAACGCCUGUCAGAGAGUCGUACCUGUGGGGCAGACAGGUGGGCAUUAACUGUCCCAUCGGUGUGAAAGAGCUUUUUCUGCCACUCACAGGCUGAGCUCUGACUGUCCAACAUGGUCUUCCCACAUGUCAGACCCUCAGAGUAAACACCUCAGCCUGUCAGCGGCUUAAAAAGCAGGGAUGGGCGAGUACAUAUUUCUGACAUAAACAUAGAAGACUGCAAACAGAAAGUUUCAAGAGGCGGUAUGAAGAGUAGUUUGUUUAAUAAAAGUAACUUGCUAAAAGACUUCAGGCUGAAACACAAGGACGAACACAAAGAGGCUGAAGCUGCUGCGGUGGAAAAGAAGAAUCUCCCACAGACCGUUAACAGACCAGUCUGUUUUAUUUUGCACUUUUAUUUAUUUAAUUCAAACAAAUACUAAAACUCAGAGAGCUGAUUGUGUUUUAUUUUACACUAUAGUUUCUUUAUAUAAAUACUAAAACUCUCUAUUGUAGGAUGACUGCUGCCUUUUUCAGAAAUAAAAGGUGUUUGUUCAAAAUG
Scatophagus argus is the source of this 1982-nucleotide long non-coding RNA. RefSeq lists it as uncharacterized. The record is from RefSeq and is a predicted model, not a curated record. NCBI's taxonomy places the organism in Eukaryota, Metazoa, Chordata, Actinopteri, Scatophagidae. The transcript is spliced from 6 exons.